RNAcentral lists this ribosomal RNA (197 nucleotides) under uncultured Acaulospora. Its description in RNAcentral is "partial 18S ribosomal RNA". It matches the Rfam family "Eukaryotic small subunit ribosomal RNA", at positions 569 to 766 of the family's 1831-position model. The record is from RNAcentral. Lineage: Eukaryota; Fungi; Glomeromycota; Glomeromycetes; Diversisporales; Acaulosporaceae.
AGCAGCCGCGGUAAUUCCAGCUCCAAUAGCGUAUACUAAAGUUGUUGCAGUUAAAAAGCUCGUAGUUGAAUUUCGGUGGCCCAACGGCGGUCGGCCGCAAGGUCUGUACUGCCGGUCUUCGGACCACCUCUUUCUGGGGGAACGUCGGCCCUUAACUGGGCACGGCGGCCGAACCAGGACGUUUACUUUGAAAAAAU